Molecule: long non-coding RNA, 2810 nt
Filed under: Sus scrofa (pig)
Lineage: Eukaryota; Metazoa; Chordata; Mammalia; Artiodactyla; Suidae
Description: lncRNA (ENSSSCG00015030976.1)
Source: RNAcentral
CAACGCAGAGCACCCUUCCACCUCCUGAACCAACCCAUGGGAUGCACUGGGCUUGUUACCUGAUUGCUGAUUUCAUUCCUCACCUCCCUCUAAGAACAACCAAGUGCCUAACGGGGGUGGGGGUGGAGGGGAUUCUGUCUCCUGGUCGUCAGGGCAGUCACUCCCCCCUAUACUUCACCACGCCUCUCAUCAAUGCGCCAAGCCCAUUCCAUGUCCAGUAACCAGCUUGAAAUCAAUCAACCUCCACUCUUACUUUGUGUGACUUGGCUUGAGGCGAAUGAAAGAAGGGAGAGGCCCAGAUGGAAGUAAAAAGGCCCUUCUCGAGAACCCUCAAGAGACGGGUCUGUGGGGAAGAGAUGCAGCCUGCCCACCGAGUGAUUCUGGUCUGCUUUGACACUCUCCCUUCAUGACCUCCCAUCAGCUUUCCUGAUGCCAAAGGUCAGGCGAGUCUGAUUCUGGAACACUGCAUGCCCAGUAUUCAAGCCAAGUAACUCUGGCUUGGGAUUUCUGCCUCUGCAGAACCCAGAGGCAGUCAGAAAGGUGACUGCCUGGGAGUGUCCGGAUGUGGUGCUGCAGGAGCUGUCUGAAUGUGACCCACAGAGGUGAAGGCAGAACCAUGUGCUUCUAUCAGGUGACCUCGUUUUGACCCCAGAGUUGGGGGCAACCUGUAACCUAGCCCUGCUCACCAGGCAUGGCCUGGGCAACCACCAUCACAAAUCCCACCUCUGAGCUGGGAUAAGCUGACACCAGUCAGCUGCUGGGCUCUGCUGGGUCUCUGCUUGCCCUCUGGAGGCCAUGGUCUCUAAUGAGGAUUCAGAGCCCUUCCUCCUGCUUCCUGACCAAACCCAUGGAUGGACCACCCUUGCCUGGUGCACCCAACAGCUGGCAUCCAUCCUACUCUCCCUCUGGGAACCGCCAUGUGCUCACUUACAGAGGGUGGUGUUUCUCUCUCCAAGCCUCCCAGGACUCUUGCCCUCAUUCUCCCCCUCCCUCUCCUAUAGCAUUAUUCUAGAUCCAUCAGCUGAUCCCACUUCAUCAGGUCCACCAACUGGAAAUUCAUCUGCCUUCCUGCCUUAAGACAGGAGACCCCAUUUCAGCUCAUGUUCUUCCCUCAGGGUGAACCACAGGAAGUUCUAGACAGUGUGCAUAGAAAAAGAAAAGGGAGACCUAGGGGAAAAUUUCCAAGCCAGACCCCAGUGAGGAGGACAGCCCGGCCAGCCACACCCUCUGCUUCCACACACCCUCCAUGCCCGUCCACAAGCUCUGCUUUUUCCCCAACCAAGGCCUGCCUGGAGAAAACUGCAUACCCAACCUUCAGGACAAAUGCCUUUGCCUUCUGGGUUGUGCCGCGGGAACAUCCAAAGGCAUUCAAGACCCCAGACAGCCUUUCAGAGCAUGUGGUCUUUGGGCUUUGGGCUCAGCAGGGAUGAGACCCCUAUUUGAGAAGGAAGAACUCUGUACCCACCCUCAGGAGAAGUAUUUGGGACCCGAGAGUCAGAAGUAACCUGUCACUCACUGUUUACCAGCGGGGCAUGUCCCUGGGGGUUCCGCCAGCGCCCAUCUCCCACUCCAUGUCUGAGGCUGGAAGCACCAACACCAAGCAGCAGAUGGGCCACAGCAGUGCUCUUCAUCCCCUAGCAGCCCAUAGCUCUGCCGACAUUUCAAACCCCGUCCUUCUACCUCCCGAUGUCACUUGAUUUUGUUUUGCACAGCUCACCAAUGCCUUUGAUCCUGCUUUCAUACUUCUCUGUCUCUCAGAAAAAUUAAGAGCCUUACGGAGGGGGCAAGCGUUUUCCCUCUCAAAGCCUCCCGCAGCCCUCACUGCUCCCUGUCAGCACUGCUUGAAGUCAAUCACCAGGAAAAACUCCAACUCAGGUUCUGGUGUGAUGUCUUGAAGGCCCUGACCUAGAAGCCUCAGCCUGGGCCUCAGAGGGGCUGGCACUGGUAGUCAGAAGGUUUGCAUCUGGACAAGGAACAGGAUAGACUCACUACUCAUCUAUUAGUAAACAAAUAUAGUGCAAGCUUAGUUUUUUUAUUGUGUAGAUUUAGGAUUAGUUUCUGAUAUAUGUUCUACAAUUGGUAUGUAAGAUUUUUGUAUUAAAUAUUUUUCUAUCAAUUUGCUUUUUAAAUAUUUUUCUAUAAAAUAAAUUGCAUAUGUAGAAAAGCCCCCUAAACUUAGGUAAAACUUAAUGAUUUGGUAUCAGGCAGUUACCUUAGUGUCCACCCCCAAGAUCACCCACUCUCCUAUCAUCCUCAUUUGGAGUUGACUUAAGAAGGGGACUAUGAAUUUAGUACUUUCCAUCUGCCCUAUGUCAGUGUGUUUUUAAGGAUCCUGUUGUCUGAAAUGUGUUAAUUCUUUUGAUCGUGGGAACAUCAUCCUCGAUCCUUCAUGAUGACAUGAAUGUCAGGGUCUUUGACACCCAGUCACUCACCUGAUAUAAAAUCCAUGACUCACCAUUUCUCUCCUCAGUGUCUCUAACAUAUUGCUCUUAAUUUCUUCUGGGACAGCCUAUUCACUCUAUACGUGAUCAAAAUAUCAUUUUUCUUCCCUUAUGUGUUUCUUGCUCUUUUAUUCUGGAUGCCCAAAGGAUUUUUUUCUUUAAAGAUCAGUAGUUUUAUAAUUUGCUCUUAGUCAUUGCAAGUCAAUGUUCAUUUUCUCUUUAAUACAAAACUUCAAAGGUUUUUCAUAUUGAAAAAAAUUUGCGCAAUAUUAUUCUCUGUGUAUCCUUGCUGUGGUUUUUCUGUUUCAGGUCCCUCAGUCCUUCAAAUAUCAGAUUUCUUAUGAUUAUACUUCACUUUUGACACAAUCA